GUUGGCUACUUUAUUUUCAAUGUGCUUUCCAUGAAUACUAAGUGUCUUUUAAUAGUACAGCUGCUAUGAAGUGUUUGUGGUAAAUGAUGAGUUUUUUUCAUAAAAGAUGUUGCUGUCUUAUUGACUCCUUUCCCACAUCACCUUUUAUUCAUAUAAUCAUCAUUUAUAUAUGAUUGCAAGUUAUGGUUGGUAACUUAAAUUACUUCUAGGCUCUUUUAUAUAAUUAGCUGCUAUUC
This 236-nucleotide long non-coding RNA is filed under the name Mytilus galloprovincialis (Mediterranean mussel). Lineage: Eukaryota; Metazoa; Mollusca; Bivalvia; Mytilida; Mytilidae. The record is from RNAcentral.